UGCACCAUGGAAUGUUGUCGCUGGGAGCGAUGUGAUUGGUUGCACAGUGUAGUACACCAUGGAAUGUUGUCGCUGGGAGCGAUGUGAUUGGUUGCACAGUGUAGUGCACCAUGGAAUGUUGUCGCUGGGAGCGAUGUGAUUGGUUGCACAAUGCACCAUGGGAUGUUGUAUAAUUUUAAUUAAUAUACAGAAAACAAAAGAUUAAAUAUGAAG
RNAcentral lists this long non-coding RNA (213 nucleotides) under Mytilus galloprovincialis (Mediterranean mussel). Lineage: Eukaryota; Metazoa; Mollusca; Bivalvia; Mytilida; Mytilidae. The record is from RNAcentral.